CUGUGAGAGACAAAAACACCAAGACGAACAAACACACAGAAUACCACAUUAAAUAUACACAGUCGUGCUCAAAGGUUUGCGUAUCUUCGGAGAAUUUGCACGAUUGUACGAUUUUUUUCAAGAAAACAUGUUCAAAGGUUCCAUUGGAGUUUCAACCUGGUCUUGUGCUUCAGAUCAUUGUCAUGUUGGGACAUCCGAGAUCGUCCUACGUGCAGCAUUCGUUCUGUAGAAUGCAAAUUAGCAUUCAGCUUGCCAUCACUUCCCUGUGCCACUGGAGCUCACACAGCCCCAAGACAUCAGAGAUCCACCACCAUGCACCAUGCGUGAUGGUGAACUGCUGUGUUAACUCCUUUCACUUUUGGUCUCAUCACUCCAUAUGAAUCUGCUCCUCUGAUCAUGUGCUGAGAAACUCUCUGACUAUUUAUGUGCAGACACUAAUUCUAAUACAUCGAGUCACUGGUGUAGAAACUUCCC
Molecule: long non-coding RNA, 474 nt
Organism: Tachysurus fulvidraco (yellow catfish)
Lineage: Eukaryota; Metazoa; Chordata; Actinopteri; Siluriformes; Bagridae
Exons: 2
Source: RefSeq, a predicted model, not a curated record